GAUGAACGCUGGCGGCGUGCCUAAUACAUGCAAGUCGAGCGAACAGAUGAGGAGCUUGCUCCUCUGACGUUAGCGGCGGACGGGUGAGUAACACGUGGAUAACCUACCUAUAAGACUGGGAUAACUUCGGAAAACCGGAGCUAAUACCGGAUAAUAUAUUGAACCGCAUGGUUCAAUAGUGAAAGACGGUUUUGCUGUCACUUAUAGAUGGAUCCGCGCCGCAUUAGCUAGUUGGUAAGGUAACGGCUUACCAAGGCAACGAUGCGUAGCCGACCUGAGAGGGUGAUCGGCCACACUGGAACUGAGACACGGUCCAGACUCCUACGGGAGGCAGAAGUAGGGAAUCUUCCGCAAUGGGCGAAAGCCUGACGGAGCAACGCCGCGUGAGUGAUGAAGGUCUUCGGAUCGUAAAACUCUGUUAUUAGGGAAGAACAAAUGUGUAAGUAACUAUGCACGUCUUGACGGUACCUAAUCAGAAAGCCACGGCUAACUACGUG
Molecule: ribosomal RNA, 497 nt
Filed under: uncultured bacterium
Lineage: Bacteria
Description: partial 16S ribosomal RNA
Rfam family: Bacterial small subunit ribosomal RNA
Source: RNAcentral